RNAcentral lists this long non-coding RNA (642 nucleotides) under Phoenix dactylifera (date palm). Its description in RNAcentral is "long non-coding RNA (PDAC_LNC015918)". Lineage: Eukaryota; Viridiplantae; Streptophyta; Magnoliopsida; Arecales; Arecaceae. The record is from RNAcentral.
ACACCUCGAUACAUAAUCUGAAACUCUUGCUUUAUCUCAAAUUUUUGACGUUUCAUCUUUAACCAAAUAUAAAAGAAAGGGGGAGUAAAUCAAAAGUUCAAAUUGGUAAUAUUUGGAUGAAAUAGGGGAGACUUCACUCUCAAAUGUGAAAAGCUGAAAUUCAGCAACUUGAGCCCUUCUAAAACUAAUUUUAAGAUAAGAAUCAAUUUGCUCAUACUCAAUAUUUUGUAAUCAUCAAAAAGGGGGAGAUUGAGGAUGAUAGUGUUAUUUUCAUGAUUAACACAACCAUUGACGGUAUACCUAAUUAAAUAUUACAAGGUAAUAUGAUACAUCAUUACUAAGUUCGUCACUCUCGGUACAUUAGUAGAAUGAGAUCAAGAUGUAUUUUAAUGAUUAAAAAUGAGAUAAAAUUCGCGAUAGAAAAGGGAUAGUGAAUUCAAAAUUCCAAUUCGGCAAAGUUUCAAGUGAAACGUACUCUUAAGUGGACAAUAGUAAUUUUCAUUGUUUAGAGUAUGUAGCACCACCAUGACAUAUAUUCAAAAUUGUUUGAAGUUUAUUUCAUUGAUUAUAUGGAUGAAUCUAACCUUAAGUUGCAGCAAAAUGUGGAUUGAAUCGACCCCAAAAUUGGUGGAGUCGACCCCG